RNAcentral lists this ribosomal RNA (483 nucleotides) under uncultured bacterium. Its description in RNAcentral is "bacterial SSU rRNA". It matches the Rfam family "Bacterial small subunit ribosomal RNA", at positions 30 to 514 of the family's 1533-position model. The record is from RNAcentral.
AUUGAACGCUGGCGGCAUGCCUUACACAUGCAAGUCGAACGGUAACGGGCCUUCGGGUGCCGACGAGUGGCGAACGGGUGAGUAAUGCAUCGGAACGUACCUUUCAGUGGGGGAUAACGUAGCGAAAGUUACGCUAAUACCGCAUAUUCUGUGAGCAGGAAAGCAGGGGAUCGCAAGACCUUGCGCUGAUUGAGCGGCCGAUGUCAGAUUAGCUAGUUGGUGAGGUAAAGGCUCACCAAGGCGACGAUCUGUAGCGGGUCUGAGAGGAUGAUCCGCCACACUGGAACUGAGACACGGUCCAGACUCCUACGGGAGGCAGCAGUGGGGAAUUUUGGACAAUGGGGGCAACCCUGAUCCAGCCAUGCCGCGUGAGUGAAGAAGGCUCGGUGUAAGCUCUUCGGCGGAGAAUCGACAUGGGCUAAUCCCUGUCGCGGAUGACGGUACCGGGCAUAAGAAGCACCGGCGUAACUACGUGCCGAGCAC